AACGCAAAUGGCGCUCUCGGGAUAGACCUGGGAGCACGCCUCUUUGAGUGUCGAUUCAAUCAAACUCAGCGACCUGCUCUUUAUUGGUGCGGGCUGCAGCUGAAUAUUGAGUGUCUCACGAAAGUGUGUCACUUUAAGCGGAGCGAGUCUCCUGUUUUCUAGCACUUGUUAGGCUUUCGGGCCUGGCAUAGCCUAGGUUGAGUUUUGCGCUGCGAACUUAUACCUACUAGUGAUGCGGAUAAUCACAUUAGUGUGUUCCAUCAUGACUGGUAGGAGCGAGCUCUGGUACAAACGACUUUAGUGUCAGCUCUGCCUUGUGCGAAAAUGCAUGAGAACUGUGUAGACAGAUCGGAGGCCGGCAGCAAUGCCUUGUGCCUUCAAUACCUCUUUGACUUAGACCUCAAAUGAAGCGAGACAACCCGCUGAACUUAA
RNAcentral lists this unclassified non-coding RNA (432 nucleotides) under uncultured Cercozoa. Its description in RNAcentral is "sequence contains ITS2". The record is from RNAcentral. Lineage: Eukaryota; Cercozoa.